Molecule: long non-coding RNA, 566 nt
Organism: Magnolia sinica
Lineage: Eukaryota; Viridiplantae; Streptophyta; Magnoliopsida; Magnoliales; Magnoliaceae
Exons: 2
Source: RefSeq, a predicted model, not a curated record
UAUUUCUCAGCCUAUAAAGGAUCUCAUCUUUUUUUUUAAAAAAAAAUUGAAUUUGUUUAUGUUUGAAGUUAUUUGUUUACUGUAUUCUUCUCUUGCUUAGAAUGAUAAGUCAAAACUCAAGAAGGUGAUUGAAGAGCUUGAUGAAAAGAAGAAGGAAACACUAAAAGUUACUUGGGUUAAAGUGAACAAGCUGACAAGCUAAAGAAGUUAGUAGAGGAUGAAAUUCAAUUUCUCAAGGGAAGGGUUUCAAAACUUGAAAGUGAUCUUGUGUCGAAGUCCACAGAAGUUACAUCUGCAGUUUCGAGGAAAGAAGAAGCUCUAUCUUCUGCAUUUGCUGAAAUUGACUGUCUGAUGAAAGAAAAUUCUGUAAAAAUGUGAGCAUUAUUGAAUGCAUAUGGAGGGUGUUUACUGUGUUGGAGUGUAUUUGUUUCUUGCACAUGAGGUCAUGCCUUAGUUGUAAUUCUUAUGAUAGGUUGAGCAAAGUGAAGUAUUGUUUAUUUAGAAAUGUAAAUGUAGGAUGCAUUGUAUGAUUUGAUUGCUAUUUGUAAUAAAUGCAUCAUUUUUUU